This 799-nucleotide ribosomal RNA is filed under the name Kocuria rosea subsp. polaris. RNAcentral describes it as "bacterial SSU rRNA". It matches the Rfam family "Bacterial small subunit ribosomal RNA", at positions 73 to 882 of the family's 1533-position model. Lineage: Bacteria; Bacillati; Actinomycetota; Actinomycetes; Micrococcales; Micrococcaceae. The record is from RNAcentral.
GCCCAGCUUGCUGGGCGGAUUAGUGGCGAACGGGUGAGUAAUACGUGAGUAACCUGCCCUUGACUCUGGGAUAAGCCUGGGAAACUGGGUCUAAUACUGGAUACUACCUUUCAUCGCAUGGUGGGGGGUGGAAAGGGUUUUACUGGUUUUGGAUGGGCUCACGGCCUAUCAGCUUGUUGGUGGGGUAAUGGCUCACCAAGGCGACGACGGGUAGCCGGCCUGAGAGGGUGACCGGCCACACUGGGACUGAGACACGGCCCAGACUCCUACGGGAGGCAGCAGUGGGGAAUAUUGCACAAUGGGCGAAAGCCUGAUGCAGCGACGCCGCGUGAGGGAUGACGGCCUUCGGGUUGUAAACCUCUUUCAGUAGGGAAGAAGCGAGAGUGACGGUACCUGCAGAAGAAGCGCCGGCUAACUACGUGCCAGCAGCCGCGGUAAUACGUAGGGCGCAAGCGUUGUCCGGAAUUAUUGGGCGUAAAGAGCUCGUAGGCGGUUUGUCGCGUCUGCUGUGAAAGCCCGGGGCUCAACCCCGGGUCUGCAGUGGGUACGGGCAGACUAGAGUGCAGUAGGGGAGACUGGAAUUCCUGGUGUAGCGGUGAAAUGCGCAGAUAUCAGGAGGAACACCGAUGGCGAAGGCAGGUCUCUGGGCUGUUACUGACGCUGAGGAGCGAAAGCAUGGGGAGCGAACAGGAUUAGAUACCCUGGUAGUCCAUGCCGUAAACGUUGGGCACUAGGUGUGGGGGACAUUCCACGUUUUCCGCGCCGUAGCUAACGCAUUAAGUGCCCCGCCUGGGGAGUA